AGUAACUGCUUGUGUUAGUUCCUGCCUGUAGGCUGUGUGAGUGUGUGUUUGGGAGUGUAUGUGAAAGAGAGAGAGAAAGGGAGAGAGUAGCAUUUACGUUUCACCUCCCUGUCUCCCUGUUCCCUGUCAUUCCACUCCUCUCUUCUCCUCCCUCGUUCCCUCUCCUGGACUACCCCAUUGGGACCUACCCAGACCCCUUCCCUGCCUGGACCCUCUACUCUCCAUCCCUUUGACUCUCCUCAUCUCUCCAUCCCUCCCUCUCCCGGGUCAAGUCAGGUCAGAGAUAUUCAAGACAGUUGGCAUGCAUACAGCCAGUGAUCCUGAGAAGCUUUCUUCCUCCUUGCAGACCAUGGCUCUGCUUCACGUCUUUGUUAACAAUCCAACGACUGUUGUCUGGAAUAAGAACAGAAGAAUGUGGUCUCUAUAGCUUGAAAAGUGGAGAGAUAAAACGAAAUCCCCCCACAUAAAGAUAAGUUGAAAAAUACCCAUUCAUUAGUACUUAUAGGCAUCUGGCAUGUGACGGUACAGAGCUUAUAAAGAUUGUUGGUUAUAAUGUUAUUAACGUUGUAUUCUUGACAUCUCAGUAACCCUCUGUCUGUACAGUAUGACACUUUGCUGCAGAGAUCAAAAGGCUUUAAAGAACCACUUUGGCUUUGCAUAAUGGGUCCAGAACCUGCCAUUCAGGCAAUACUGUGCCUUAUUGUUCCAUUGUCAACCUCUCAAUAGGAUGAAUGAAUGUUUUGUACUGAGUGUGUGAAAUGCAGCUCAAUAAUGUGACAUUUAUUGAAAACAUAAGAAUAGUUAAAUUGGCAAAAUAACUCUCUGAAGUGGGCACGUGUUUGCAGUGGAGCCAUAUUAUGUUGUAAUCUAUUUUCAGUAUCUGCUCUAUGCAUCGAUAGUACUGUAGCUCUGAAACAUACCUGCUGUGUACAUGCCUCAGGUUUUUGGCAGUUCCAUAUACUCCCAUAUGGCUCCUCAACAAGGAGCUGACAUGAGCUGUGUUUAUCAGGUGUAAGGAGGAAAAGUGACGAUGGCUUAUA
This is a long non-coding RNA of Coregonus clupeaformis (lake whitefish), 1040 nucleotides long. RefSeq lists it as uncharacterized. NCBI's taxonomy places the organism in Eukaryota, Metazoa, Chordata, Actinopteri, Salmoniformes, Salmonidae. The record is from RefSeq and is a predicted model, not a curated record. The transcript is spliced from 3 exons.